CCCUGCCAUUUGUACACACCGCCCGUCGCUCCUACCGAUUGGAUGGUCCGGUGAAAUGUUCGGAUUCAAGGGUCUACGCGGUUGCGUGGAUAUAUCUUGGAAAAGUUCAUUGAGCCUUAUCAUCUAGAGGAAGG
RNAcentral lists this ribosomal RNA (134 nucleotides) under uncultured eukaryote. RNAcentral describes it as "partial small subunit ribosomal RNA". It matches the Rfam family "Eukaryotic small subunit ribosomal RNA", at positions 1651 to 1783 of the family's 1831-position model. The record is from RNAcentral.